CGGUACGCCGUAUGCAGGGGGACAACAGUCAGAAAUGACUGCUAAUACCGCAUAAGCACACAAUGCUGCAUGGCAUGGUGUGAAAAGAUUUAUCGGCAUACGAUGGCCCCGCGUCUGAUUAGCCAGUUGGCAGGGUAACGGCCUACCAAAGCAACGAUCAGUAGCCGGCUUGAGAGAGUGACCGGCCACAUUGGGACUGAGACACGGCCCAGACUCCUACGGGAGGCAGCAG
Molecule: ribosomal RNA, 232 nt
Filed under: uncultured bacterium
Lineage: Bacteria
Description: partial 16S ribosomal RNA
Rfam family: Bacterial small subunit ribosomal RNA
Source: RNAcentral